ACCAUUGCAUUUUCUUAAGCUUGCAGUUAUUUCUUCUGUUUUACUUCGUUUUCAAUGUCAUGACUUGUCAGACUUUGAUGGCUCUUCAGAAUUGACUAUGGGCCUCGUUUGGCAACUUUCUAAAACUAGAGAGGGUUAAUAACACUUUGCCCUCAAAAGUAUUGACGGACUCUCACUUUGGCUCUCAACCAAAAAAUUUUGUGCACUUUAACCAUUUUUAUUAAUUUUUCUCAGUUAGAACCAACUCUCUAAAUCUGUCCAACAAAUUAUUGAUCUAUGCUUCCUUAUUUGUCUAUCCACUAAUGGAUUUGGCAUGAUUCGCUUCACCUUGGAGAGGAUUUCGAAUAAAAAAGUUUUUUUAAAUUCGAAGUUGCAUUAUUUGCUCCCAUUUG
This 392-nucleotide long non-coding RNA is filed under the name Actinidia chinensis (golden kiwifruit). RNAcentral describes it as "long non-coding RNA (ACHI_LNC004224)". Lineage: Eukaryota; Viridiplantae; Streptophyta; Magnoliopsida; Ericales; Actinidiaceae. The record is from RNAcentral.